UACAGAGGUCCCAAGCGUUGUUCGGAUUCACUGGGCGUAAAGGGUGCGUAGGCGGUCGGGUAAGUCUGAUGUGAAAUCUCACAGCUUAACUGUGAAACUGCAUUGGAUACUAUCCGGCUCGAGGAAUGGAGGGGAGACUGGAAUACUUGGUGUAGCAGUGAAAUGCGUAGAUAUCAAGUGGAACACCAGUGGCGAAGGCGAGUCUUUGGACAUUUCCUGACGCUGAGGCACGAAAGCCAGGGGAGCAAACGGG
This 253-nucleotide ribosomal RNA is filed under the name uncultured bacterium. RNAcentral describes it as "partial 16S ribosomal RNA". It matches the Rfam family "Bacterial small subunit ribosomal RNA", at positions 524 to 776 of the family's 1533-position model. The record is from RNAcentral.